RNAcentral lists this long non-coding RNA (1444 nucleotides) under Homo sapiens (human). RNAcentral describes it as "HSALNT0374162". The record is from RNAcentral. Lineage: Eukaryota; Metazoa; Chordata; Mammalia; Primates; Hominidae.
UAAAUGUUUGCUGACCCCUGUUCUAGUGAACUAACUAGAUAGGAGAUGCUCUGUGUAAUUUCAGCAGUUUAUGAUAUCUCAGAUCCUCUUUCACUAAUCUGAAAAUGAUUGGUAACAUUUCUCACCCCAUACCAUUUAAGUACAAGAUGUCCUUGACUCUUCAUCAACUGCUACAUUAAUAAUGAACAUAACCCUGGGAAAUUUGGGGAUUUCAUAUGGUGCGAAGAGAGGUCACUUUGAGGUAUUCAGCUGGUGGAUGGCUUCUCUUACAUGUCCCCUUGGCAGGGAUCACUAGAAGUCUGGCUCAGCUGGGGCUAUUCACCAUGGUGGCUACAUAAUGGCUUCUCCAGUAUGGUGAUUUCAGGUUAGUUGAAUUUUUACAUUAUAGCUCAAGACUAGCAAACAUAGUGUUUGAAGAAGCUUGAGUGGAAGCUUCAAGACUUAUGACCAAGAUUAGAAGUCCUGGAAUGUCACUUCUACCAUUUUCUACUGCUCAAGAAAGUCACUAAGACCAGCCCAAAUCCAAGGAGAGAGGAAUUAGAUUUCAACUCUCAACAGGAGAAGUACCAUACUAAAGACUAUAUGACCAUCUUUGGUUGACUGGCAGGUCUUCUGCUCCAUGCUGUAUCAACUGGGGUCACACAAAUAUAAUUAGUUGGUGGCUGGGCUGGGUCUAGAAGAUUGAAAAAGACCCCCCUUAUACAUCUGGUGGCUCAGCUGGGGUGGUUUGAGUGGCUGGAGCACCUCGGUCCUCUUCCAGAAAUAACGCCUUUCAGGAGCACAAGAGUUGAUGAAAGAAAACACUCUCAAAGUCAAGUUUGCUGUAGCCUGUAUACCUGAAAACGGUGGGCUUGAGAGGCCGGGAAGAGAAAGAAAGAAGAGGGAUAGUAACAACCUAAACAGCAAAGACUUGGAACUUGAAAUUAAAAAGAUAUACACCUAUCUAUGUAUUUCUGAUAUGUUUGUCAUAAUUUCAACCAAAGUUCAUGAUCUAUAGAAUUUUGCAUAAAUAAAAAAUAUCAUUUGGUUAGUUUUGACUCUCAUUAAAAAUAAAUUUUGUCAACCAUCCUCUUAUUAAGAUGUUUUAGAACUAAACACACAACACAAUUAUAUCUCCACAAAAUGCCACUAGGUUUCCUAACAGAGCAUCAACCUACUUAGAUUGUGAGCUCAUCAUUUUUAUGCAUGUGUUUACAUAGAUGCUUUUUUUUCUACAGGCAGCAUGAUAUAGUGAAAAGAAUGUGAGGUUCUGAAAUUAGAAGAACUGGGCAUGACUCCUAGAAUGUACUAUCUGUUGUGUGACCUUGGGCAAGUCACUUAAUCUGUCUGAGGCUUGUUUUUCUUGCUUGUCAAAUGAAAAAUAAAUGACAGCAAUAUUUCAGAUUUGGUGUGCAGAUCAUGUAAAUAAUAUAUGCGAAAGUGCUUAGUAAAUUGUAAAGCAUCA